Molecule: long non-coding RNA, 1691 nt
Organism: Patiria miniata (bat star)
Lineage: Eukaryota; Metazoa; Echinodermata; Asteroidea; Valvatida; Asterinidae
Exons: 5
Source: RefSeq, a predicted model, not a curated record
CGUGCAAUUCGUAAGAAUUCUAGUGGAACCACUGAGUUUGCAGGGCCUAGGGCCGGGUGGGGGCCAACCACGAGCGAAGUGGAAGGACAGUCGCAUGAGGGCGCUAUAAUCUUAGAAAUUUUCCUCUUGCUCGCAGCCAUUUUUAAUAUUAAUAAUAGAUCCAAUUCCAAUUAAACGCUGGUGAACUUUUCGUCGCCACCAAAUCGCGAACCCACUUCAAGAAAGAUGCCAACUGUGUGGCCCAAGAACCCGAUGGCUCUCGUGAGACCUUACGCCCGAGAGAUUGGGCCAUUCCUCUUCCCCUGUAUACUGUUGACAGGUUAUCUCAUGACCAAAGCUACUAUGAUUGGAUUGAGAGAAAACAAGAAGCAGAAAGCUCUACAAUCAUCAGGCCACCAUUAACCUCUUGGAGUCUUCAGUUGUAACUUAGUAGGAUCCCGAUGUAGCACCUGUGGUCUCCUUUCUCUUCUGUCUCAACCCAACUCCAGCCAGCUUCACUGCAACUUUCACCCACAUCGAGUGAGAUCUUCAAACUACAACACAUUCAAAGUCAACACAGAUAUGCAAUGCACCACUUUAAACUCUUCAUUCACCUGUUAAAUGCAGGAUGUCAUCUUCUUGUCUGAAAAGUUGGCCAUACUGGACACAAAUGCACAUGUGGAUUUGUGACAUCAUGGAAUGUAUUUGCAAAUUCCCUCCAGUGCAGAAAUAUUGUGCUGUCAUAUUCCUUUGGCAUUCACAUUCACGUCAACUACAAACUGGGCUUGAUACCCAUGUUUUUAAACAAAUAUAUUAUAUUACCCAGUCUGCAUUGUAAGCAUUUUGUUUAACCAGUUUGCGCCGGAUGACGUGUAUACCUGCAAAGGUUUUGCGGUAUUCGGAAUGGAUGGCGGAUAAACACGCAGGGAGAGAGGCUGGACAUAUCUGUCAGCGACCUGAUCGCAGUGAGCGAGGCCAGAAAUAUGAACGUGUUGCCCGAGGGUGAUGGCUUCAACCUGCUGGGCAUAAGGUCGAGUGAAAAGGUAUCCCGCGCCUUGUUCCGUUCUAGUCAAAAUAAUCCCGGCGCGAACUGGUUAAAGAGCAAGAAUUGGGCAAAUUGCUUAGAUUUUCACUUAGUAACCCUGGAAAUAGUUUGAGAACACAACUUUUCAUAACACUUGUGUUGUCUUUCUUGAUUUGUUAGUUAAGCUUGAACAACAAGUUAGUGAUUGUCCCACACAUAGUCUCACUUUGCAUGCAGUGUUGACAAAGCUAAGGAAAACCAAAUAUGUUGGAAAAGGAGGCCACAGUCUAUUCAGGUUUAUUUCAGUUUUUCAAAUGUAUUGAGUGGAGAUGUUUGUUUAAACAUUGCAGUUGCAUGGUUUUCUUAAUUCACUUGGUAUGCUAAAAAAUAUUCCAAUCAAAGGAAGCAUGUAGUUUAUAAAAACAAAGGUUAGCAUAUACAAUCCAUUCAAUUGGAGCGAAAUUCAAAUGUCCCCUGCGUGUGAUAUAUUUUACAAAUGUUUCAAAUCAUAUCGACACUUUGUGCCAUGUGAAAGACUGUUUAUCUUUAAGUGGUCAUAUGUAUUGCAAUACAGCACAACAUGACUGGCACAUUGUGGGAACUGCUAAUUUUUGUAACGAUUUGCUGUGUAAAUUUAACCAAUAAUACAUGCAAGACAAUAAAUAGAAAGUUUCUAAAGUUGAAUUAA